RNAcentral lists this ribosomal RNA (493 nucleotides) under uncultured bacterium. RNAcentral's name for it is "partial 16S ribosomal RNA". It matches the Rfam family "Bacterial small subunit ribosomal RNA", at positions 28 to 507 of the family's 1533-position model. The record is from RNAcentral.
GACGAACGCUGGCGGCGUGCUUAACACAUGCAAGUCGAACGGUGAAGGGACCGGUUUUUGCUGGUUCUGGAUGAGUGGCGAACGGGUGAGUAACACGUGAGUAACCUGCCCCCUUCUUCUGGAUAACCGCAUGAAAGUGUGGCUAAUACGGGAUAUUCUGCGCCUGCUGCAUGGUGGGUGUGGGAAAGAUAUUGUUUCGGUGGGGGAUGGGCUCGCGGCCUAUCAGCUUGUUGGUGGGGUGAUGGCCUACCAAGGCGGUGACGGGUAGCCGGCCUGAGAGGGUGGACGGUCACACUGGGACUGAGACACGGACCAGACUCCUACGGGAGGCAGCAGUGGGGAAUAUUGCACAAUGGGCGCAAGCCUGAUGCAGCGACGCCGCGUGAGGGAUGGAGGCCUGCGGGUUGUAAACCUCUUUCGCCAGUGGAGCAGGCCUGUCCCUUUUGUGGGUGGGUUGACGGUAGCUGGAUAAGAAGCGCCGGCUAACUACGUG